RNAcentral lists this ribosomal RNA (500 nucleotides) under uncultured bacterium. RNAcentral's name for it is "partial 16S ribosomal RNA". It matches the Rfam family "Bacterial small subunit ribosomal RNA", at positions 28 to 523 of the family's 1533-position model. The record is from RNAcentral.
GAUGAACGCUAGCUACAGGCUUAACACAUGCAAGUCGAACGGUAACAUGAGUAGCAAUACUUGAUGACGAGUGGCGCACGGGUGCGUAACGCGUAUGCAAUCUACCUUCAACUGGUGAAUAGCCCGAAGAAAUUCGGAUUAAUACACCAUAGUAUAUUUGAGUGGCAUCAUUUAAAUAUUAAAACUCCGGUGGUUGAAGAUGAGCAUGCGUGACAUUAGCUAGUUGGUGAGGUAACGGCUCACCAAGGCUACGAUGUCUAGGGGAUCUGAGAGGAUUAACCCCCACACUGGUACUGAGACACGGACCAGACUCCUACGGGAGGCAGCAGUAAGGAAUAUUGGACAAUGGUCGCAAGACUGAUCCAGCCAUGCCGCGUGCAGGAUGACAGCCCUAUGGGUCGUAAACUGCUUUUGUGCGAGAAAAAACCCCUCUACGUGUAGAGGGCUGAUUGUAUCGUAAGAAUAAGGAUCGGCUAACUCCGUGCCAGCAGCCGCCGUAA